RNAcentral lists this long non-coding RNA (1265 nucleotides) under Homo sapiens (human). Its description in RNAcentral is "non-protein coding lnc-DKK4-4:1". Lineage: Eukaryota; Metazoa; Chordata; Mammalia; Primates; Hominidae. The record is from RNAcentral.
GUUUUUUGAGCCGGAGAGACGCAGCGGCGGCCCCAGUGCCGCCCCCGGGCGCGUGAGUGGAGCCGGGCUCCUUUCCCCUACCGCGCCGCGACCCCCGCCCGGGCUGCGCGCGCCGCCUCCCGCGAGCCCCCGGCCCGACUCCCGGGCUCCCGCGGGUGGGGGCCAGGGCUGGUCGGCGCCGGCGGGGCUCGCGGCGGCGGCGGGUUGCGUCCCCCGCGCCUGCUGGCCCACGUGGACCUGGCCGUCGCUUGCCGUGCGGCGCCUUUGCGAAAACUCGACGGAAGUGGCAGGGACCGGGCAUUACCUGCGAGUGCCGGGCGCCUCCUGCUCCGCUGUGCGCGCUUGGGGUGGGACUCGGCGGGGGAGGGGUCGUGUACAUUGUCCCACCAGGCGCAAUGUAGCCGGGCGGCGCAGAGGAUUUCUUUUUUGGUCUUGAGAGCAUAGAGUCCCUUUUCAUAUUCACGUGUACUCUUAAGAAAGCGUCUGUUCUCCAAACUGGCUUUCCAUUCUCCCCGUCCUAAAUGGUGCGUGGCUGACACCGUAGUGUUUUCAAAACUGGAUAUGGCCAGGAUGCUAUAGCAUUGUCAGUGCAUCUCCUUGGAAACAAUGCCAUCUUUGAAUGUGAGAGAUAAACCUAGUUUCAGCAUGUCUGCAGCAGAGACCAGUACAUCAGGCUUAUUCCCACAGGAAGCCUCCUAAAGCCUGUGGCGCGGCAACCAUUUCCAGGACUAAAUAAUAAUGUGUCAGAUGCCUGUGAGUGGACUGCCUGGCCAAAUGACUCAUGAAGAUAUUCACGGAAGAAUAGUCAAAAACCAAAGAAAAGGCAUAUUCUAGAAGCACCUUCAAUUCCAUCGAGGAUUUUUGAGCAGCUGAAGAAGAAAGUUCUGAAAAUAUGAGUGACAGGACUCCAGCACAUUUUUUUUAGUUGUUUCUUACAUUAUCUUUGUUAACCCAUCCGCUUUUGUGUAUAAUAUUAAGUUAUUUUCCACUACUGCAAUGGCUAGUAAUUUACUUAGGCUCAGAGUUUUACUCUGUAUGGACAGAGAAAUAGGAGGUAACAACAGUGGGAGAACAAAUAGGAACAGUUCACUGGGAUGUUGGUCCCCAGAAAUUGGCUUUCAUUGAAUAAUUCCUAAAGGGUGUCGUGUGCUGAAUUGCUUUUUCAUAGUGAUGUGCUGCUUCUUGUUCAUACUCUUAUGACUUUAAUUUCACCUUUAUCUACUCCCAGCCUCUGUAUAUGCCUACGUUUUUAAAAAUAAUUUUUG